UGUGUCUAGUGAUGGGCUGUAUAAUCUACCCUGAUGGCUGGGACAGUGAUGAGGUGCGGAGGAUGUGCGGUGAGCAGACAGACAAGUACUCCCUGGGAGCGUGCUCUAUGCGUUGGGCUUACAUCCUGGCUAUCAUGGGGGUCCUGAAUGCCCUCAUGCUCUCCUUCCUGGCCUUCGUACUGGGCAACAGGCAGGACGGACUCAUGACCGAGGAACUGCUGGCCGAGAGCAAGGCUGGGAAUGCCUAAAACAUCAAUAGGUGUUUUUCCUAGUGUGUGUGUUCACCGCUCAUCACUCUCCAGCUUUUUACCCAUCAUCCCCAGAAGAGGACAAGCACACAAUGGCUGUGGGAGAGAGAAAGAGAGAGGGGGGGAGAAAUGGAUAGCUAUGGAACUAGACCCCUCCACUCCAUUCACACUUGCACGUUGACACUGUGAUAUUCCACCCAUCACCCUCUAGUUUAUAAUAUAUACUGUAUCUGCCAAUGAUAUGUACAUACGUGUGUCUUUGUUGUCCGUCCUGCGCAUAGUCCUAGCCCUAUCGAGAGUCUCUACCCCACACUACUCCCUUAUCACUGAGCCUGUAGAACCCCAGCAGAGACUGACAACCCUUACACGACCGAUAAUCAACCAAGACAGGGACAGAGACUUUGACUGACCAACUGAAGACGUAUGGAUUAUCUGCAAGAAUGUGGAUGGGUUGUACUAUGUUGAAGUAUUAUACUGAUACAAAUACACAAACACGGUAGUACAGUUCACACAUAAAUGCACGUGGGUGAGAUAAUACACACACACACACAUCUAAAUUCACACGUGAAUACUAUAUAUAUAUAUAUAUACAUAUAUUAUAUAUAUUCAUUGACUUUAACCUUGUAAUAAAUCCAUACGCUAACACGUUGAGCAACAGUAGAUAUUAGUGUACCAUGCCAUCUCCUGAGUAUGUUUUAGUUGUGAAAAGAAGGAAAUGACCUAUUCUCAUCUAAUAUUGGGUGUACAUUUACGAUAUCUCAAAAUAAUGUGUGAACUCUUACAAACAAAACCUAUCCCUCCUCCUCAUUCUCCCCCUCUUCCUCAAAAGCCGUCUUUACUAGAGCACUGUUGUCUAACGUGAGUGGCUACAGUUACAGAUCAUUAAUAUAGAUCAUUAAUUGUAGUUUUACAAAGUUGGUGCUGAAAUAUAUGUAUAAAUACUAAAAUAUAAAAGAAGCACUGGUUGUUGGAAUUCAGUUGAGGAGAAUCUCAAAGUUUUGUAGUUUGUGGUAUGGUAUAUUCUUAUUCACUGUGAUGGGGGGAGGUAUUUGACGUAUGUCUGCUCCAUAUCUUGUAGCUGUUGGGUGAAUGCGUGUUUGUAUGAGUGUGAAUGUAGGGGGGUGGGGGUGGGUUGGUUCUUCUAUCCUUGGGCUCUAAAAUCCCCAAAAUUCUCCAUGACAGUAAAAUAAGGAAAAUUGUCCACGGGGGGACACUUCUCCCAUGUCCCCAUGAGAACAAAGGCUAUGUUAGGUUUAAGGUUAGGGUUAUAUUUUAGUGUUAGCGGUUAGGAGUUCGGUUUUGGGUUAAGGAAAAUAUGAUUAAUGGAAAUCAAUUUUAGGUCCCCAACGAGGAUAGAAGAACAAAACAUGUGUGUUUUUUAAAUGCACCUUUUUAAAUGUACCAACACACCAGCCUCGUCUCAUAACGACUCUUAUACUAUAUAGUCCUGAACAUACAAAUGUAUUUAUUUCCCUCUCUUGAUCUCUCGCUCUUUCUCCAUCUCAAUUCUUUCUCUAUUGCACACUCCCUCUCUCUCCCCCUUUCCAGCUGUCUCUCUCAUGUUUUUUUUUAAUUAGUGUGUUUGUCAAAUUAACCUUUUUAAUGUACCAACACUCUCUCUCCUCUUCCAUAUUUUUUCAGUAUGAGUAUGUUUGUUAAAUGCACCUUUUUUAAUGUUCCAACACACCAGCCUCAUCUCAUA
This is a long non-coding RNA of Oncorhynchus gorbuscha (pink salmon), 1950 nucleotides long. RefSeq lists it as uncharacterized. The transcript has 3 exons. Lineage: Eukaryota; Metazoa; Chordata; Actinopteri; Salmoniformes; Salmonidae. The record is from RefSeq and is a predicted model, not a curated record.